GCUAAAAAGCACUAAUCAAACGACGGCGUCGUGUAUUGGUGAAUAAAUGUAGAAGUGGCUGAGUUAUAAAAGCUUUGUGGCUGAGUUACAAACAUAU
RNAcentral lists this small RNA (97 nucleotides) under Arabidopsis thaliana (thale cress). Its description in RNAcentral is "ATSL205790". The record is from RNAcentral. Lineage: Eukaryota; Viridiplantae; Streptophyta; Magnoliopsida; Brassicales; Brassicaceae.